Molecule: ribosomal RNA, 435 nt
Filed under: uncultured Anaerovorax sp.
Lineage: Bacteria; Bacillati; Bacillota; Clostridia; Peptostreptococcales; Anaerovoracaceae
Description: partial 16S ribosomal RNA
Rfam family: Bacterial small subunit ribosomal RNA
Source: RNAcentral
ACGGGAGGCAGCAGUGGGGAAUAUUGCACAAUGGGCGCAAGCCUGAUGCAGCAACGCCGCGUGAGCGAAGAAGGUCUUUGGAUCGUAAAGCUCUGUCCUUGGGGACGAAGAAGUGACGGUACCCAAGGAGGAAGCCCCGGCUAACUACGUGCUAGCAGCCGCGGUAAUACGUAGGGGGCGAGCGUUAUCCGGAAUUAUUGGGCGUAAAGAGUACGUAGGUGGUUUUGUAAGCGUAAGGUGAAAGCCCGGGGCUCAACUCCGGCGAGCCUUACGGACUGCAGGACUUGAGUGCAGGAGGGGAAAGUGGAAUUCCUAGUGUAGCGGUGAAAUGCGUAGAUAUUAGGAGGAACACCAGUGGCGAAGGCGACUUUCUGGACUGUAACUGACACUGAGGUACGAAAGCGUGGGGAGCAAACAGGAUUAGAUACCCUGGUA